CCCUUAGAUGUUCUGGGCCGCACGCGCGCUACACUGAUGAAUUCAACGAACACUAACCUGUGCCGAAAGGUUCGGGUAAUCUUGUGAAAUUUCAUCGUGAUGGGGAUUGAUUAUUGCAAUUUUUAAUCAUAAACGAGGAAUGCCUAGUAAGCGUGAGUCAUCAGCUCACGUUGAUUACGUCCCUGCCCUUUGUACACACCGCCCGUCGCUCCUACCGAUUGAAUGUGCCAGUGAAAAGUUCGGAUUGGAGAUAGGAAACGGCAACGUAUCCUAUUUCCGAGAAAAUCUUUAAACUUUCCCAUUUAGAGGAAGGAGAAGUCGUAACA
Molecule: ribosomal RNA, 326 nt
Filed under: uncultured eukaryote
Lineage: Eukaryota
Description: partial 18S ribosomal RNA
Rfam family: Eukaryotic small subunit ribosomal RNA
Source: RNAcentral